RNAcentral lists this unclassified non-coding RNA (380 nucleotides) under Hevea brasiliensis (rubber tree). The record is from RNAcentral. Lineage: Eukaryota; Viridiplantae; Streptophyta; Magnoliopsida; Malpighiales; Euphorbiaceae.
GGAACUUACCCAACUGGAUAAAGAAGCGUGAAAUAUGCGAGUUCUUUCGCCAGUUUGGUCCCAUAAAAAACGUAAUCUUGAUCAGAGGACACAAUGAAACCGAAAGGAAUGCUGGGUUUGGGUUUAUUAUCUAUGAUGGUCCAACAGCAGCAAAGUCUGCCAUGAAAGCUGAGGAGUUUGAUGGAAUGGAGUUCCAUGGAAGGGUUCUUACUGUGAAAUUGGACGAUGGGAGAAGAUUGAAGGCUAAAGCGGAGGAAAGAAGGCGGUGGGUGCAAGGGGAGGAUGGGGAUGAUUAUAGGUCCAGGUGGCAUGAAGAAAGAGAGGGGUACAGAAAGGCGUUUCGGAGGGUUCUGGAGACGCAGCCAGAGAAUUGGCAGGCG